CAACUCUUCGAAAGGGGAGCUAAUACCGAAUGUGGUCCCCCCCCGCAUGUGGGGGAGACUAAAGGUGGAAUCCUUCGGGAUCUGCCGCUUCUGGAGGGGCCCGCGUGACAUCAGCUUGUUGGUGAGGUAAUGGCUCACCAAGGCUUACGUCUAGCCGGUCUGAGAGGAUGGUCAGCCACACUGGGACUGAGACACUGCCCAGACUCCUACGGGAGGCUGCAGUCGAGAAUCAUUCACAAUGCGCGAAAGCGUGAUGAUGCGGCGCUGCGUGGAGGAUGAAGGCCCUAGGGUUGUAAACUCCUGUCAUGAGGGAAAAACCGCACGGAUGUAAAUAGCGUCUGUGUUUGAUGGUACCUCAAGAGGAAGCCACGGCUAACUCUGUGCCAGCAGCCGCGGUGAUACAGAGGUGGCGAGCGUUGUUCGGAUUUACUGGGCGUAAAGCGUACGUAGGUGGUUUCGUGUGUCGGGUGUGAAAGCCCACGGCCCAACCGUGGAAUUGCACUCGAAACUGCGGGACUUGAGUGCAGGAGGGGAGAGCGGAAUUCAGGGUGUAGCGGUGAAAUGCGUUGAUAUCCUGAAGAACACCGGUGGCGAAGGCGGCUCUCUGGAAUGUUACUGACACUGAGGUACGAAAGCGUGGGGAGCGAACAGGAUUAGAUACCCUGGUAGUCCACGCCGUAAACGUUGUGCACUUGGUGUGGGCGGUAUUGACCCCGUCCGUGCCGGAGCUAACGCGUUAAGUGCACCGCCUGGGGAGUACGGCCGCAAGGCUAAAACUCAAAGAAAUUGACGGGGGCCCGCACAAGCGGAGGAGCAUGUGGCUCAAUUCGAUGCAACGCGAAGAACCUUACCUGGACUUGACAUGUAACUGCAUGCCCCGGGAAACCGGGGAGGCCUUCGAGGGUGUUACACAGGUGCUGCAUGGCUGUCGUCAGUUCGUGCCGUGAGGUGUUGGGUUAAGUCCCGCAACGAACGCAACCCUUGUGUUUAGUUGCCACCGGUGGUGAUGAGCCACCGAGCACUCUAAACAGACUGCCUGUACAAGCAGGAGGAAGGUGGGGAUGACGUCAAGUCAGUAUGGCCCUUAUGUCCAGGGCUGCACACGUGCUACAAUGGCCGGUACAAUGGGAAGCAAUACCGCGAGGUGGAGCAAAUCCUCAACACCGGUCCCAGUUCGGAUUGGAGUCUGCAACUCGACUCCAUGAAGUUGGAUUCGCUAGUAAUGCCGUAUCAGCUACGACGGCGUGAAUACGUUCCCGGGCCUUGUACACACCGCCCGUCACAUCAUGAAAGCCGUCUGCACCCGAAGUCGCCGAGCUAACCCGCAAGGGAGGCAGGUGCCGAAGGUGUGGGUGGUGAUUGGGAUGAAGUCGAAACAAGGUA
Molecule: ribosomal RNA, 1383 nt
Filed under: metagenome
Description: bacterial SSU rRNA
Rfam family: Bacterial small subunit ribosomal RNA
Source: RNAcentral